CCACGGGAGGCUGCAGUGAGGAAUAUUGGUCAAUGGCCGGGAGGCUGAACCAGCCAUGCCGCGUGAAGGUCAGUGCCCUAUGGGCGUUAAACUUCUUUUGUGCGGGAGCAAUAAUGGUCACGUGUGGCCAGACGAGAGUACCGUACGAAUAAGCAUAGGCUAACUCCGGGCCAGCAGCGGCGGUAAUACGGGGGAUGCAAGCGUUAUCCGGAGUUAUUGGGUUUAAAGGGUGCGUAGGCUGUGAGGUAAGUCAGCGGUGAAAUGCCCCCGCUCAACGGGGUGAAGUGCCAUUGAUACUGCCUUGCUGGAAUGCGGAUGCCGUGGGCGGAAUGUGUGGUGUAGCGGUGAAAUGCAUAGAUAUCACACAGAACACCGAUUGCGAAGGCAUCUCACGAAGCCGCGAUUGACGCUGAUGCACGAAAGCGUGGGUAUCAAACAGGAUUAGAUACCCUUGUAGUC
RNAcentral lists this ribosomal RNA (459 nucleotides) under uncultured bacterium. Its description in RNAcentral is "partial 16S ribosomal RNA". It matches the Rfam family "Bacterial small subunit ribosomal RNA", at positions 339 to 795 of the family's 1533-position model. The record is from RNAcentral.